ACGGAAGGCAGCAGUGAGGAAUAUUGGUCAAUGGCCGGAAGGCUGAACCAGCCAUGCCGCGUGAAGGAUUAAGGUCCUAUGGAUUGUAAACUUCUUUUAUACGGGAGCAAUAAGGUCUACGUGUAGGCCGAUGAGAGUACCGUACGAAUAAGCAUCGGCUAACUCCGUGCCAGCAGCCGCGGUAAUACGGAGGAUGCGAGCGUUAUCCGGAUUUAUUGGGUUUAAAGGGUGCGCAGGCGGCACGUUAAGUCAGCGGUGAAAUGCAGGGGCUCAACCCCGGCACUGCCGUUGAAACUGGCGAGCUCGAGUACGGAUGAAGUCGGCGGAAUGUGAUGUGUAGCGGUGAAAUGCUUAGAUAUGUCACAGAACACCGAUUGCGAAGGCAGCUGACUAAUCCGCAACUGACGCUCAGGCACGAAAGCGUGGGGAUCGAACAGGAUUAGAUACCCUGGUA
Molecule: ribosomal RNA, 454 nt
Filed under: uncultured bacterium
Lineage: Bacteria
Description: partial 16S ribosomal RNA
Rfam family: Bacterial small subunit ribosomal RNA
Source: RNAcentral